GAUGAACGCUGGCGGCGUGCCUAAUACAUGCAAGUCGAGCGAACAGACGAGGAGCUUGCUCCUCUGACGUUAGCGGCGGACGGGUGAGUAACACGUGUAUAACCUACCUAUAAGACUGGGAUAACUUCGGGAAACCGGAGCUAAUACCGGAUAAUAUAUUGAACCGCAUGGUUCAAUAGUGAAAUACGGUUUUGCUGUCACUUAUAGAUGGAUCCGCGCCGCAUUAGCUAGUUGGUAAGGUAACGGCUUACCAAGGCAACGAUGCGUAGCCGACCUGAGAGGGUGAUAGGCCACACUGGAACUGAGACACGGACCAGACUACUACGGGAGGCAGCAGUAGGGAAUCGUACGCAAUGGGCGAAAGCCUGACGGAGCAACGCCGCGUGAGUGAUGAAGGUCUUCGGAUCGUAAAACUCUGUUAUUAGGGAAGAACAGAUGUGUAAGUAACUAUGCACGUCUUGACGGUACCGAAUCAGAAAGCCACGGCUAACUACGUG
This 497-nucleotide ribosomal RNA is filed under the name uncultured bacterium. RNAcentral describes it as "partial 16S ribosomal RNA". It matches the Rfam family "Bacterial small subunit ribosomal RNA", at positions 28 to 507 of the family's 1533-position model. The record is from RNAcentral.